UUUGGACGUUUUGAUAUUAUUCAGCGCUUUUUGUUUAUGCUUCCAACACCGAUAAAAAGUUUGGCGACCUCAUUGUGACCUAAAAUUAAUACAGAUCAAUGAAAAAGAUCAAAGCGAUAUCUUAUUUAGUCAGCUCUACCAUUGUUAACAGCUAUUCGAAGGGGUAUACGAUUCACAUUAUUUUUAAUACCAGUAUUGGCUUCUUUACGGAUGAGAAGUUCAGCGACAUUCUUAUGACCUGAAAAAUAAUUUAGAUGGAUAAAAAAGAUCAAAUCAAUCUUCUAUUUGGUAAAGACAAGUAUUAGGGUGGCCCAAAGUGUACACUAUAUUCGAGUAUCCAAUGUAAAAUAUCCAAUUAUUACCAUUCUGAGCAGCUAUUAGAGCAGGUGUCUCAUUCGAAUUAUUUUUAACAUUAACAUUUGCUCCUUUACGGAUGAGAAGUUCAGCAACAUUCUUUUGACCUGAAAAAUAACACAGAUCGAUGAAAAAAAUAAAAUUAUUUUCCUAUUUAGUGAGAACAAAUAAUAAACAUUACCAUUCAAAGCAACUAAAUGAAGGGGUGUAUUAGUAAAGUUUGUGUUAGCGUUGGCAAAUAGAGCCAAAAAUGAAAAAAAUAGAAAAAUAUUCCAUUUUCAUUGAGAAUCAGUAUCGCUUUUAAGAAGAAGAAAGAUUGAAUAUUAGAUUAAGAAAGGUAACUAGUUAAUAGUUCCUGACUGUCAACGACAGCACAAUGUUUGGCGUGAUAAACGCCGACCUUAACAAUUAAGAUGUUCCUCAGAGAUUUUGAAUUUUUCUUUGUUUAUUUCUCGUCGAGCUUUUAAUUAAAAAAAAACGAUUGCAUUCCUUACAAUGAACGCAGCAAACGGAAGUAGAGAACAUGUGUAGUCCGCACUCGAUAGUACUGAUAUUGCAAAUAAGCGACUUAUUCAAAUGGAAUCUUUGAGUAAAUGAAAAAAAUCCAUAUUUAAGAAAAAAUGAAAAAUUUAGCAUUUUUGCGGACCUAAAAAUAGUUACGAUAAUAAUAAUCCGUUCUGAAUACUUUGUUCGACGGAGAGAGCAAAGCAAAAAAAUGCAAAAUUAAAAACGAAAAUAUCAGAACUUAGCUUAGCUGUAAGAAAUAUGUAAUAGAAAUAAAAUAAGCUGGGAUGCAGAAAAUGCUGAACGUCGUGAGGAUCAUCUUUUGGUGUUAAAGCUGCUGAAAACCCGUUACACUCAAGCUGACGACACUUCAGUACAAACAUCAUUUGAGCGCUCGCAGCGCCACGAACUCUCGUAUCAUUUUGUAUUGACUUUUCGAAAGUUCAUGAGUUCGCCGUAGACUUCGUCAAAACGUGUCGUCCCUUUGGUUACACUCUAUGUUACUGUGUAACCACUACAACUACAGCUACACUCUAAAGUACUUUGAAAGAUCAGUGCUUGUAUCUCCCAAUCUGCAAUGCAAUUGUUUCAAUCGCAUUCGAGUAAUGACCAAUAAAACAGCCCGCUGAAUCGAAUAGACCGAAGGCAAACUCAUUGAAUCCAAUGGACAAAAGGCAUAAAAAGCAAGUGGAACACUUGAAUUCAGACUCGAUCACAUUUCCUUCAUCGUUGCCCAUCAAAGUGAUGGAACGACUCAGGUGUGGAUCGAGAUACAAUAAAAAUGAUUGAAUCGAUAGUGUACAGACACUGGCUGGGUAUACCAAUGGACCCUCCUAAAUCGAUGAAAUGGCAUGCAAGAAUCCAAAAGCCAGCGAGUGUUCUGCAAUAGCUCGUAUACGAGUUAUGAUACUUCCCAUACUUACAAUCGGUUGGGUAUCGUAUGAAAAGCUCAAAAAAAGCUUUGAACAAAACAGAAAAUUCAAAGUCUAAGACCAAAGGAUUAAAAGCAAAACUUCAAUUUGAAAGCAAGGAGCAUUGAUUCGAGACGAUUUAUGGUAAUCAGAACAUGCUUCGGUCCACUCAAACUUCACUUGAAGCUCAAUUAAAAAAAAGAGUUGAUUACCACAAAAAUGAAACCUCAAACAGCCCUUUUGAAUGUGGCAACGUCUAACCAGGUGUGGCCUUUCUUAAAUCACGUUAAAUCAUCGAUUAAACCAAAUUAGUGACCGAACCAAACUGACCUUCGAACUCGAUAUUCAAACGGCAUUUCCGGUGAAAUUCAGCGAUUCAAUGGAUACUUUCUCAAAUUUUGGGAGAAAAACCAACAGGCAGAUAUACAAAAAAAAAUGCAUAGCAGCUCGUGUAACAGUCGUUAUGUCAACGCAGUCAUCAGACAUCACUACACAUGAUAAAUGACAAAGUCAUCAACGAAGGAUCUACCACCAUUUACAAGAAGCAAAUCAGCACCAAGUUAGUAAUUCCAACAUCAUUUAUAAACAUCAAAUUCAUCGAAUUCCACAUCGAAAUUCAACUCAAAUUAUUAUUCUUGAUGAUAGAACUCUAUGGUUCUAGAAAAAUGAUUGCGUUUGUUCAGAAAUAAACAAGAUAUCGCUCGUUUUAGCAUGGCUUAGUUUUGAAUAUAAAUGAGUUAAGUUUCGUUCAUCAUGAAUUUCGAAUAAUUGAAUAAUUCAGUAUAAAUACUGCGCAUAUAUGCUAGCGAUGUUUUAGAUGUGUAAUUUUUU
This is a long non-coding RNA of Sitodiplosis mosellana (orange wheat blossom midge), 2600 nucleotides long. RefSeq lists it as uncharacterized. NCBI's taxonomy places the organism in Eukaryota, Metazoa, Arthropoda, Insecta, Diptera, Cecidomyiidae. The transcript has 4 exons. The record is from RefSeq and is a predicted model, not a curated record.